Molecule: ribosomal RNA, 622 nt
Filed under: uncultured bacterium
Lineage: Bacteria
Description: bacterial SSU rRNA
Rfam family: Bacterial small subunit ribosomal RNA
Source: RNAcentral
AACACAUUGUCAAGCCGAGACGGUAGAGAUUCUUCAGGCAAUCUUGAGCAGCGGCGCAUCGGGUGCUGGAACACUGUGUGCAACCUGCCUUUAUCUGGGGCGAUAGCCUUUCGAAAGGGAGAUUAAUACCCCAUAAGUAUACUGAGUGGCAUCAGCAUUAUUAUUGAAAACUCCUGGUGGAUAGAGAUGGGCACUGCUGCAAGAUUAGAUAGCUGGUGAGGUAACGGCUCACCAAGUCAAUGAUCUUUAGGGGGCCUGAGAGGGUGAUCCCCCACACUUGGUACUGAGACACGGACCAAACUCAUACGGGAGGCAGCAGUGAGCGAAUAUUGGACAAUGGGUGAGAGCCUGAUCCAGCCAUCCCGCGUGAAGGACGACGGCCCUAUGGGUUGUAAACUUCUUUUGUACAGGGGAUAAACCUUUCCACGUGUGGAAAGCUGAAGGUACUGUACGAAUAAGCACCGGACUAACUCCGUGCCAGCAGCCGCGGUAAUACGGAGGGUGCAAAGCGUUAUCCGGAUUUAUUGGGGUUUAAAGGGUCCGUAGGCGGAUCUGUAAGUCAGAUGGUGAAAUCUCAAUAGCUUAACUAUGAAACCUGCCAUUUGAUACUGCAGGUCCUUGA